Culex quinquefasciatus (southern house mosquito) is the source of this 235-nucleotide long non-coding RNA. RefSeq lists it as uncharacterized. The record is from RefSeq and is a predicted model, not a curated record. Lineage: Eukaryota; Metazoa; Arthropoda; Insecta; Diptera; Culicidae. The transcript has 2 exons.
GUGCUCAAUUUUUGUAGUCGAUAGAUCAAUGUAGGUAAGGGAAGUCGGCAAAUUAGAUCCGUAACUUCGGGAUAAGGAUUGGCUCUAAAGGCUGGGAUGACUCGGGCUCUGGUGCCUUCGCGGGUGCUUUGCCUCAACGCGUGCGUGCGGUGUGCGCUCGUGGCUCCGGGUGGUUCGCGCCGCCCGGGUCCGGCCGCGCCGUGCCCGCUGCAGUCAUCAAUAAACAGCCAAUUCA